This is a long non-coding RNA of Canis lupus familiaris (dog), 808 nucleotides long. RefSeq lists it as uncharacterized. NCBI's taxonomy places the organism in Eukaryota, Metazoa, Chordata, Mammalia, Carnivora, Canidae. The transcript is spliced from 3 exons. The record is from RefSeq and is a predicted model, not a curated record.
CUUCCGGGUCCUCCCUUGGGGGUUAAGCAGAGCAAGUCAGCACCUCAGGAAUCAGAAGACUCUGUGGCCAAAUAAAGGUCCUUCCAAUGUGAGGUUCCACGAUCCCCCAUGGAGAGACAGGCAGAGGAGCUCCUGUCUAUCAGACAGCGCUCCAUGAGGGUCAAGCCUAUACACAGGGAUGUCACCCCACAGCCGACGCAUCAUCCAGGCUACUGGUGGACAUUUACCAAGAACCUGCAGUGUGCCAGGUACUGCCCCUGCAACGGCUGGAGAAAUUAGGGGCUCAUUCCUGGGCCCCCCCUGGAGGAAGCCUGGAGAGAGGCCUCUCUCCCCACCACUACCCUGGACAGAUGCAGAAGACCCCUUGGGGGCAGGCUUUCUGACUCCAGGAUAUGGGCAUCGCUGCAAACGUAGAGUCAAUCCUCCCAGCCACUGCUAGAACCAAGUGAGAUGAUGAGAUAAUCAGUGCUUUGCACACUAUGCAGGGCUGCACAGAAUCCUUGGUUCUCUGGCCCAACGGGCAGGACUCUGGCCCGGAAAUUGCACUCCUGGCUGUGGGCCUAGCAAGUCGUCUGCCGUCUAGGACUCAGUUUCCAUAGAUUGCAUGAGGAUUACUUAAGCACACUGCUCAGGGCUCCCGUGAUACUGAAAUGAAGUCAUGCAAGAAAGCACCAGCAUCUCAGGACACCUGCGUGGCUCAGCGGUUGAGCAUCUGCCUUUGGCUCAGAUCGUGAUCCCGGGAUCCUGGGAUCGAGUCCCACGUCAGGCUCCCAGCACGGAGCCAGCUUCUCCCUCUGCCUGUGUCUCU